AGAUUGAACGCUGGCGGCGUGCUUAACACAUGCAAGUCGUGCGGUAACAGGCGUAGCAAUACGUGCUGACGAGCGGCGAACGGGUGCGUAAUACAUGGGAAUCUGCCCUUUAGUGGGGAAUAACCCGGCGAAAGCCGGGCUAAUGCCGCAUAAGAUCUUCGGAUGAAAGGCGGGGGAUCGUAAGACCUCGCGCUGAUGGAUGAGCCCA
Molecule: ribosomal RNA, 208 nt
Filed under: uncultured soil bacterium
Lineage: Bacteria
Description: partial 16S ribosomal RNA
Rfam family: Bacterial small subunit ribosomal RNA
Source: RNAcentral